CAGCGGGACCUGCACUGCUAAUGGUCUGUACCAACCUCGCCAGCUGAGGCGGGGGGCCCUCCCUGCGACGGGCGGAGGACAGAGGGAGGGAGGAGCAGCGAGGAAAGGUCCCCUCGUGGGCUUGGUAUCUACUCCCCCCUCCCCCAGAACCCUCCACACCACCCCAGCCUCUUGGACUCCCACGGCGCGGAUCGAGGACGGAUGCUCUGGGGAGGGGGCUGCAGGCCCAGGGAAGGGGCCUUGGACAUCUCGCUCUCGCUCCUCUAGAGUUAAACCCGGCUGGGAUGCCCGCUGCCACCCCCUACCCCCACCCGAGCCGUUCCUGGCUCUCAGCUCAGCAGCUUCGCUUGUCAAAGGGGCUGGGGGCUACUUAGAGGAGGGAGAGAUGAUGACAGGAACCCACAUCACAAUUGCAGACCUGAACCAGAGAAGGCCCUGGAGGGAGAGAAAGGGUUUAGAAGAGGUCAGUCACCCUCAGUGGAGGAGGCUAUUUUUUCCCUUUCCCUGUCUAGCUGAAGGCUGGAGCCCCAUCCAUCAGCUCAAAUGGCUUUCCUAAGAGUGGCAAUGGGCGUUAAGUGACUUGCCCAGGGUCACACAGAUAGUAAGUGUCAAGUGUCUGAGGCCGGAUCCGAACUCAGGGACUCCUGAAUCCAGGGCUGGUGCUUUAACCACUGCGCCAUCUAGCUGCCCCCUGGUCACUUAAUCUUUAUGUGCCUCAGACAAGUCCUUUGGGUUUAUGUAUUAUUAGGGGUUCUUAACCUGAAGCCUGUGAACUUAACCAUUUUUGAUUGAUUUCCUUUGUAAUUCUAUAUAGUUCUCUUAUGUAUUUAAAAAACAUUAUUCUGAGAAGUGGUCCAUAAAGGUUUGAUGUACUGCCCAAGGGAUCCGUGAUACGGAAAUUCUAGGAAUCCCUGUACUAGGUCAUAGAUGAGUCACAAUCUGACACAAUCAGAGGUGGAGCUUCUUACACCAAGAGCCCCCCAUGCUGAUUCUCCAGUCAUUUGUGUCUUUAUAGAAACUGGAGAUAAUAUCUACUCCACUUGCCUCAUAGCUCUAUUGCAAGAAUCAAGUGACAUAAUAAACAUGAUAGCUCUUUGUAAACCUUAAGGCUCCAUCUAAAUGUUAAGGUAUGAUUAUGAUAAGAUUGUCCAGGGGAGCUGCUCAAAGUGAUGGGCAUCAUAAGGCCUGGAAAUGGCUCAUCUUCUUACCAUGUGGGAAUAGAGAAUUCCCCCUGGGAAGGUUAAGAUGCUAAUAUCAUCAUUAGCAUUAUCAGGCAGAAGGGAAACAACCUAUUAACGGUCCACCAGCACUCUGAGAGACCCAAGCAACAUGCAUUUGGCCUCAUAUAAUGAUAAAAAUGUGGCUAAUAAUUAAAAGGAAGUGACCCCCACACAUAGCUCCGCAAUUAAUGGAGGUCUGGUGAGGCCAUCAGAAAUGUUUUCUUUUCCCUCCUUCCUUCUUUCUUAAAAGACAAAUAAUGGAAAGGAGUCACCGGGUAAUCUGUAGCUUCUGUUUAUAAAUGAUUAUGCCCCAGUAGUUCCAAGCCUGUGCCUCAGCUUCUUUGCCUUCCUUUGUCCAACAAGUCACUUAACCUCCAAGUCCCCCAGGCCUAUUUCUAAGGGGCAGAGAAGGCACUGAACUUUUUCAGGAGAGGAAAUCCCUCCCUUGGAAUUUCCUGCACACUUAAAUCUUAGGUUGAGUUAAAAAAAAGUUUACAAAGAACUUUUCUCACAACGCCUCUGUGAAGUAUGGAGUAUAAGCAUCUUUAGCUCUGCUCUGAAGAGAUCUUGGGGAGAUUAAGCUCACACAGCUCUUAAAUGUUGUACGAGGAUUGAGUCCAGGUCCAUCACUCUUUCUGUGAUACCAUGCUGUCUCUGUGAUGAUAGUGAUGAUGAAGAUAGGGGUAACAACAAAAUAAAAAUAAUUAUAGUUGGUAUUGAUAAUGCUUUAGAAUUUGUUAAACACCUUAUAUACAGUGACUCUGUAGGGAGGGUCAUAGCCAGUGACCAAGGACAUUCAACCAAAAGUCCAAGGUAUAUCAGAUCCAGGCAAGAUGUCCUUGGCUGUGGUAUAUGAAUGUAAUGGAAUACUAUUGUGCUGUAAGAAAUGAUGAGCAGGAGGAUUUCAGAGAAACCUGGAAGGACUUACAUGAACUGAAGCUGAGUGAG
Dromiciops gliroides (monito del monte) is the source of this 2168-nucleotide long non-coding RNA. RefSeq lists it as uncharacterized. The record is from RefSeq and is a predicted model, not a curated record. NCBI's taxonomy places the organism in Eukaryota, Metazoa, Chordata, Mammalia, Microbiotheria, Microbiotheriidae. The transcript is spliced from 4 exons.